AAAAUAAUACGAACAUCUGCAGGCUUUCGUGGUGAUUCCAUUACGAUCUGCAGCACUUCAAAUCAUUUUUCAAAACGAGUAUAAAAUACGAAGCAUUCUGGCAGGAUUAUUCAGAUUAUACCCAGUAUAUUGUAACUUCUAGACUAUCGGGCACUUCAACGCUAUGUCUCCUUAUUUCUCGAUGAGUUUUAAAUGGAUUAUCUUCGCGAGCUUGUUAAUUUUGGUGGUCAUUCAAGAAGUUGUGGGUCCAGAGGAAACUGGCUGGGUUGUAUUAACUGAUGGUAAAGGCGGAGCAAUGCAGUAUGAACGAAAAUGACGACGAUAGGUACAGUAAAAUAUGCCUUUUCUCACUCAAGAAAAUCUUCCUCUUACCACCAGUACCACGAGCCUAUUGCUGUAAAUAUUAGAAAUUAUUGUUAAAUCUAUUAUUUUAAUAUCUCAACAAGCUACAAAUAAAUCUUUAUCGGCCGAUUUUCAA
Molecule: long non-coding RNA, 478 nt
Organism: Planococcus citri (citrus mealybug)
Lineage: Eukaryota; Metazoa; Arthropoda; Insecta; Hemiptera; Pseudococcidae
Exons: 4
Source: RefSeq, a predicted model, not a curated record